GACGAACGCUGGCGGCGUGCUUAACACAUGCAAGUCGAACGGAAAGGCCCGGCUUUUGUGGGGUGCUCGAGUGGCGAACGGGUGAGUAACACGUGAGUAACCUGCCCUUGACUUUGGGAUAACUUCAGGGAACUGGGGCGAAUACCGGGUAGGAGCUCCUGCUGCAUGGGGGGGGUUGGAGAGUUUCGGCGGUGGGGGAUGGACUCGCGGCUUAUGAGCUUGAUGGGGGGGUAGUGGCUUACCAGGGCUUUGAAGGGUAGCCGGCCUGAGAGGGGUAACGGCCACCUUGGGCCUGAGAUACGGACCAGACUGCUAUGGGAGGCAGUAGUGGGGAACAUUGCACAACGGGCGGAAGCCUGAUGCAGAAACGCCGCGUGCGGGAUGACGGCCUUCGGGUUGUAAACAGCUUUCGACUGUGAUGAAGCGUGAGUGACGGUACUGGGUAAAGAAGCACCGGCUAACUACGUG
This 468-nucleotide ribosomal RNA is filed under the name uncultured bacterium. RNAcentral describes it as "partial 16S ribosomal RNA". It matches the Rfam family "Bacterial small subunit ribosomal RNA", at positions 28 to 507 of the family's 1533-position model. The record is from RNAcentral.